AUGCAGAGAAGCCAUGGUGCUCAAGAACUGGUCAGGACCUACAUAGCAGCUCUCGGGUCCUUCUGAGAUUUUGCUUUCCUGCUAGUGGCUAUUGAAUAUAGGACACAUUCUAGACAAACUUAUGAGAUGUGUACCCCAGUACAACAUUGCUGGUUUUCCACUGGAGGGCACCCCAUCCUGGAUUGUAACCUGGAAGACUGAGGUCCCAUUAGACCUGUAAAAGGUGAGUAAUUGGAGUCCUGAGAGAAGUAAGCCAAUAACUUUUCAAAUAGAAUAAUGCCACCAGAUAAAAGCAAAUGAAAUUAUAUAAUGCCAAA
Molecule: long non-coding RNA, 317 nt
Filed under: Sus scrofa (pig)
Lineage: Eukaryota; Metazoa; Chordata; Mammalia; Artiodactyla; Suidae
Description: lncRNA (ENSSSCG00035023511.1)
Source: RNAcentral